This 921-nucleotide long non-coding RNA is filed under the name Piliocolobus tephrosceles (Ugandan red Colobus). RNAcentral describes it as "lncRNA (ENSPTEG00000000018.1)". Lineage: Eukaryota; Metazoa; Chordata; Mammalia; Primates; Cercopithecidae. The record is from RNAcentral.
GUAUAAAUACAAAAAUUAGCCGGGCGUGAUGGCGUGUGCCUGUACGUUUAUAUGAAUACAAACUGAGCUUUGUUUCCAUCCUCAGCCCCUUCCCGCUUAAUGGCAUAUCCUUCAACUUAGUCAAACCAGGCUACUCCUGAGUCAAUGGUCUUCAUCCUAGUCAAUUCAGGGCUUUACUAAUUAAUUUUGGGCUCCUCCUUUUCCUCAGAUGGUAUCUCAGUUUGGACAUGAAGAGAAAACCGCUGCUGUGUCCACGCAUGGAAAAUAAUUGCUGGCCCUCCCUGGUCGUCUGUCCACUAGGGCAACAUCUAAUGCAGGUUUUCUGGUUGGUCUUACCAGCAAUCACCAAGAGAUCAUUGAGUGGCUUUGGCUCUAGGAUCAUGGAGUUCUCCACUGGAUUUUCAGCAUUUGACCAACAGAAAGAGAAAGGAACACUCAUGAGAAGUUUUCCUAAACCAAGACUUCUUCCCACAUUUCAUUGUCCGUAUCUCAGCCACAUGGCCACAUCUAAGUACAAGGGAGGAUGGGAAAUGUAGAUUAGCUGUGUUUCUGAUGGGAAAAGAAACAGACCUUCAUAAUUUUUUUUUUUUUUUUUUUUUUUUACAGGAUCUCGCUCUGUCACCCAGACUGGAGUGCAGUUGCACGAUCUUGGCUUACUGCAAUCUCCACCUCAUGGGCUCAAGUGAUUCUUGUGCCUCAGCCAGCCACCCAAGUAGCUGGGCUCACAGGCACACCUGGCUAAUUUUUGAAUUUUUUAGUAGAGGUGGGGUUUUAUCAUGUUGCCCUGUCUGGUCUUGAACUCCUGACCUCAAGUGAUCCACCCGCCUUGGCACCCCAAAGUGCUGGGAUUAUAGGAGUGAGCCACCAUGCUGGGCCCAGAUUAGCUGCUAUGUUAGAAACAAUGCAUUAUAAAUAACCAGA